Molecule: long non-coding RNA, 1588 nt
Organism: Helianthus annuus (common sunflower)
Lineage: Eukaryota; Viridiplantae; Streptophyta; Magnoliopsida; Asterales; Asteraceae
Exons: 7
Source: RefSeq, a predicted model, not a curated record
ACACGGAUCAUGAUCCCCACAACUCUCCUACAAUCCCUACUUUUGUACAGCUUUUGUGACAUUUGAAUUUUGAAACAGGGUUUCAACAUCGAUUUGAGGAUUUGGCUCCAUCUUCUCUCUUUCUCAUGUAUAUUGAAUGACUCAAUCUCAUCUCUUUCUCAGAACACCACCGACUUGAAGAUUACAUCUGGGAGAUAUGACAACGAAUAAGUCCGUUCUUCCGAUUCAACAACCAUCAGUUUAUAGUGAAUCAAGUCUGCAAAGAUUGGUGGCUACGGAGAAGAGUUCCUGGCUGUAGAUGGUGAUUGAGGUAGGUUCCGACAGACAAACUGAGGAUUUAAUAAGGUGUGGCCGAUAUUUGAUUCUUUUCAAUCUUGUGAUUUUCGGAAGGUAAAUUGAAGCCACCAACGGGCUUGUAGCCUAGCAGUGUGAUGGUAUCAUGGUGCGCAGAUAAGUUGUUCCUCCCCUGCUUCAAUGGCUGAUGUAUCUGCCUUUCAUGCAACUUCAUUUCUUCCUGUAAAAAAGGCUAAGGCUAUAACAGAUCCAGAGAGAAGAGGGUUUCUAAAAAUGUAGAGAUAGGCGUAGAGAGGCCAUGUGGUGAAAUUUGGCUCAUGAAAUGACAACAGAGUAUGGUGUUUAUUUAUGGACUGUGCUUUGCAUUGCUUUAGUAAGUUUUUAUUAUUUUUAGGAAGCACCAGAUAUUGUUUAUUUUUGGUCUCACCUUUUCGGGAAAUGGAUGUUGCCAAAAUAAUAUCCGAACCCCAGUUACAGCUAUUAAUUUGUAUUGUGGUUUUUUAUUUAUUUUACUGUUUUUAUUCAUUUAUUUUAAAUCUAAAGAUAAGGGGUUGCUAUUUUGGUUACUUGAUCUAUCCCUGUUACAAGUUUCCCUCUAAUAUGUGUCCUUUACCGGGACUUGAAUAACACUCUGGUUUUGUAGGGCGCUUUCUACCUUUUUAUUGAUUUCAACCAUUACUAUGGCACACAGGUUGAUGGAUUCAAGUUGAUUAAAAACUCAGGAUCCGUGUGCUGGUAUUUGUUGGAAACGGGUCAGGUUGCCCUUGUGUCGAAAAUGAUUGUUAAAGCUGACAAAUACUUGGUCAUGGGAUGCUAUGAUAAUGAUGGUCUUGCUAUUCGUGAAGUGGUUGGGUAGUACAAAGAAAAUACAAAGAUUAUAGCGGAUACAUUUACCUCACUAGGUUUCAAAGUAUAUGGCGGAAUGCAUGCCCCAUAUGUGUGGGUCCACUUCCCUGGUCGAAAUUCGUGGGAUGUCUUCAGUGAUAUUCUUGAGAAAAGUCAUGUUGUGACCACACUUGGGAGUGGGUUCGGACCUGCUGGUGAAGGGUUCGUUAGGGUCAGCGGCUUUCGCCCCAGGAGCAUCGUGUUGGAAGCCUGUAGGAGAUUCAAGGAGCUGAGAAAAUGAAUCCAUUUUCAUAUUAAAUUAAUUCUUCAAUCAACCUGCUUGUUUGUUGGAGGAAUUUAACCUGCUUGUUUUUUUUUUCGAUCUACUAAUUCCCCCUUGAAUGCUGUCACCACUGAUUACUAAUUGGAGUUUAGAAUCAAUUAACAAAUCACACAUGUUUAGGAAUAA